UACGGAGGGAGCAAGCGUUGUUCGGAAUUACUGGGCGUAACGGGUGUGUAGGCGGCUGUUUAUGUUUGGUGUGAAAUCUCCCGGCUCAACCGGGAGGGUGCGCCGAAUACUGAAUGACUUGGAGUGCGGGAGAGGAAAGUGGAAUUCCUGGUGUAGCGGUGAAAUGCGUAGAUAUCAGGAGGAACACCGGUGGUGUAGACGGCUUUCUGGACCGUAACUGACGCUGAGACACGAAAGCGUGGGUAGCAAACAGG
This 254-nucleotide ribosomal RNA is filed under the name uncultured bacterium. RNAcentral's name for it is "partial 16S ribosomal RNA". It matches the Rfam family "Bacterial small subunit ribosomal RNA", at positions 524 to 776 of the family's 1533-position model. The record is from RNAcentral.